RNAcentral lists this long non-coding RNA (575 nucleotides) under Ananas comosus (pineapple). RNAcentral describes it as "long non-coding RNA (ACOM_LNC044035)". Lineage: Eukaryota; Viridiplantae; Streptophyta; Magnoliopsida; Poales; Bromeliaceae. The record is from RNAcentral.
AAAAUUUUUAAAAUAUUUUAUUUAUUUAUUUUUUCAUUUCAAUAUAUUUUUUAUAUGUUUCUGAGUUAUUUCAAAAUAUUUCAACAGUUACCGUCCAUUAAAUUGAAUUAAAUAUGAGUUAAAUAUUUACCACAGUUUCAAAAAUUAAAAUACUAUUUUUGCCCUUAACUUAAGGAUAAAUAAAAAAUAUUAGUGAUAGUAGAAAGUUAUAUUUGAAAAUACUAAAAAGUAAAAUAUUUUUGUGUCCCUAACUUAAGAGUAAAUAAGAAAAGUCGGUGAUAAUAGAAUGGUAUAUUUGAAAGGACAAAACAGUAAUUUUAUAAAGAUAAUAGAGUUUAUUAAUAUAUUUUAACAAUAAGGAUAUAUUAGAAAUAAGAUGGAAUGUAAAAAUAAUAUUUUCAAUAUUAGCAUUCUCAGAAAGUCGAAAACUUUUUAGGAAUAUAUAAGCAACUGCCCAAAAAAUUUAAUAGUUGAUGUCUGAAGUUUUAAAUUCGAAUUCUAAUUAAUUCAUAUUUUUAGAGCGAAACGUGUAAGUUCUAACAAAUCAAUCAGGCAUAGUCGAAAGUCGUUUAACC